AUGUGGAUCGAUUGGUUCGAUCAACCAAGUUCUUGUCUAGAAAUUGAAGUUCACGGAGAACAAGGGGUGAAAAACACAGAGAGUUUUUGCAUAAAAAGUUCAGAAAAAAUAUGCCCUGCCACAAUUUUUGUUUGUGCUAGUUCAUAUAUCUAUUUUCGUCUUAUAUGUGUGUUCAGAUUUUGGUUUUGCAGAAGAAGGCACGAAGUUCACUUACUGUCGUCGAGGAAAUUCAGCUAUACCCUCUCCAACGACCUCAGCCACGGCCGCCCUCCAGCCACCGAGUGCUUGCCUCUGCCAUCUCUAAGUGAUUUUUGA
RNAcentral lists this ribosomal RNA (315 nucleotides) under Triticum aestivum (bread wheat). RNAcentral's name for it is "partial small subunit ribosomal RNA". Lineage: Eukaryota; Viridiplantae; Streptophyta; Magnoliopsida; Poales; Poaceae. The record is from RNAcentral.